RNAcentral lists this antisense RNA (69 nucleotides) under Parafrankia colletiae. RNAcentral's name for it is "Frankia sp. Cc1.17 ASpks TB sRNA". It matches the Rfam family "ASpks TB sRNA". The record is from Rfam by way of RNAcentral. Lineage: Bacteria; Bacillati; Actinomycetota; Actinomycetes; Frankiales; Frankiaceae.
CUUCAGCGAGCCGAGCUGGAGCGGAUGCGGGCGGGCCUGGCCGUAGGUGGCCAGCAGGGCCUGGGCUUC